RNAcentral lists this ribosomal RNA (415 nucleotides) under Oenococcus oeni. RNAcentral's name for it is "bacterial SSU rRNA". It matches the Rfam family "Bacterial small subunit ribosomal RNA", at positions 1 to 390 of the family's 1533-position model. The record is from RNAcentral. Lineage: Bacteria; Bacillati; Bacillota; Bacilli; Lactobacillales; Lactobacillaceae.
UUAAAUUGAGAGUUUGAUCCUGGCUCAGGAUGAACGCUGGCGGCGUGCCUAAUACAUGCAAGUCGUACGCUAGCCGCUGAAUUGAUCCUUCGGGUGAAGUGAGGCAAUGACUAGAGUGGCGAACUGGUGAGUAACACGUAAGAAACCUGCCCUUUAGUGGGGGAUAACAUUUGGAAACAGAUGCUAAUACCGCGUAACAACAAAUCACACAUGUGAUCUGUUUGAAAGGUCCUGUUGGAUCGCUAGAGGAUGGUCUUGCGGCUUAUUAGCUUGUUGGUAGGGUAGAAGCCUACUAAGGCAAUGAUGCGUAGACGAGUUGAGAGACUGGACGGCCAAAUUGGGACUGAUACACUGCCCAAACUCCUAAGGGAGGCUGCAGUAGGGAAUUUUCCGCAAUGCACGAAAGUGUGACGGA